CCGAUCUUAGCUCAGUUGGUAGAGCGGAGGACUGUAGAUCCUUAGGUCACUGGUUCGAAUCCGGUAGGUCGGA
RNAcentral lists this transfer RNA (73 nucleotides) under Triticum aestivum (bread wheat). RNAcentral's name for it is "tRNA-Tyr (GTA) (tRNA-Tyr-GTA-6-1)". It matches the Rfam family "tRNA". From Rfam's summary of the family: Transfer RNA (tRNA) molecules are approximately 80 nucleotides in length. The record is from RNAcentral. Lineage: Eukaryota; Viridiplantae; Streptophyta; Magnoliopsida; Poales; Poaceae.